UUCUUAAUUUGAGUAAAUUCAUUCAAUAUAAAGAAAACCGUUUAUUCUGUACUUAACAUAAUGAGUUUUCCAAAAAUAAGCUAUGAAUAUGCUAUGAAUAUCCAUAUUCAUACCACUUUUUAUUUUUACGUAUAAGAGAAUAAGAGAUGACAACUUUCCUUUCUUACUUGCUUACUGGUUCCUCUAGGGUCUAUAGGGAUGUCCCCCUACUCGUGAACCCAAUAUUCAAUUUAAACAAUUAACUGGUCAUCCCCAUAUCACAUCCGGUAAUGGGCGCCAAAUAUUCCAUCACCUCAAUACCCCGUCUGGUAUGAUGGUGAACCAUAUCUCCUAAACCUUUUCGA
RNAcentral lists this long non-coding RNA (344 nucleotides) under Carica papaya (papaya). RNAcentral's name for it is "long non-coding RNA (CPAP_LNC009749)". Lineage: Eukaryota; Viridiplantae; Streptophyta; Magnoliopsida; Brassicales; Caricaceae. The record is from RNAcentral.